CGUCAGUACAGGAAGGUACAUCUUUAACUGAACACCAGUGAUGAAGGACUUAGCGAGCUCUGUUUCGCCAGCCCUUAAAGUCAACAGUCUCCUCAUUCUUCGGCACACGGUCUCCUGAGUGAUAACUGCUGCUCUUCCCACAGGGCGACGGUGAAGGAGACCAACAAGUAAGGUGCAGGAAAGGGCCAGGGGUGUCUCUGGCAGACUGCCUCUCCUGAGCGUGCCUCCCACCCUGCUCGCCGGGUUCACUCGGCUUAGACGGUGCUUCUCCUGGGGACCUUCCCUGGCCUCCCACGUCUAAGCUCCGUGGAAGUGAGAGCCACGCCAAUGACAAUCUUCCCACGAAGCUGAGAAGCCCGCCGUCCCUAGCACGGGCCUCUCCCCAGCACGCUGUUGAGCAGAUUUUCCACCUGAAGGGGGAUGUUCCACUCAGCUCAUGCCCAAACGCUAAGGUACUGACCCGGGGAGGCUGGCGGGUGGGGAACGAGGAAGCAGAGACACCCAGGGCGGCCUUCUCCCGCCUCCCUGAAACCUGCAGAAUUCAUUUUUGGGUUCUUUCUCCUGGCCUCCAGAAGUUGAGACUUUUCUGGAGACAUCAAUUUUGUGGAGAGGUAAAUAAUGUUAAAAUAAAAUAAUAAUGAGAAGAGUAACAGCUAACCUUUCUUGGCCCUGAGUCCUGCAGGGACUGGCUCAGUUACCGCAUCCACAUCCCUAAUCAGGUGUCCAUUAGGCACGUACUGACAAGGAAACAGGCACCCAGAGGUUAGGUAACCUGCCCACGAUGACACAGA
Molecule: non-coding RNA, 791 nt
Organism: Vicugna pacos (alpaca)
Lineage: Eukaryota; Metazoa; Chordata; Mammalia; Artiodactyla; Camelidae
Source: RefSeq, a predicted model, not a curated record